CUAGAAGACAUGUACUUAGAUUCAAAGAGCAUUUAUAUAUUUAACUAAUCAAAGAAAAGCUUUGGCAUAAAAAUGGAUGAAAAUAGUGCUAGAAAAAUUACAGACUGGAAUAUAGAUUGCAUGAAAGAGGAUUUAAUGUAUUGCAGAACAGAAAUUAAAAUUGCAGAAUAAAUAUAAAUUUCUACCCAAAUAAACUCUCAAAAAUUAAAACUCAAAACAAAACCUAAAAUAAAACUAAAAAUAAGAACAACAUACUCUCAAACUCAAAA
This 269-nucleotide long non-coding RNA is filed under the name Phoenix dactylifera (date palm). Its description in RNAcentral is "long non-coding RNA (PDAC_LNC016730)". The record is from RNAcentral. Lineage: Eukaryota; Viridiplantae; Streptophyta; Magnoliopsida; Arecales; Arecaceae.